Molecule: small nucleolar RNA, 104 nt
Organism: Sorex fumeus (smoky shrew)
Lineage: Eukaryota; Metazoa; Chordata; Mammalia; Eulipotyphla; Soricidae
Product: small nucleolar RNA U13
Exons: 1
Source: RefSeq, a predicted model, not a curated record
AGCAUUUUCCGGUUCUUAAGCAUGAUUAUUGGGUGUUCAUGUGUUUGAGUGACAUGUGCCUCCCUUAAAUCUUGUUAAGCAUUUGGCACAUUACCCAUCUGACA